This 540-nucleotide ribosomal RNA is filed under the name uncultured bacterium. RNAcentral describes it as "bacterial SSU rRNA". It matches the Rfam family "Bacterial small subunit ribosomal RNA", at positions 8 to 525 of the family's 1533-position model. The record is from RNAcentral.
AGAGUUUGAUCCUGGCUCAGAACGAACGCUGGCGGCGUGCCUAACACAUGCAAGUCGAACGGAGAUAAGGGGCCUGCUCCUUAUUUUAGUGGCGCACGGGUGAGUAACGCGUGGAUAAUCUACCUUGGAAUCUGGGAUAACAUCUCGAAAGGGGUGCUAAUACCGGAUAAGACCACGAGCUCUUCGGAGUUUGCGGUAAAAGGGGGCCUCUGUAUAUGCUUCUGUUUCAAGAUGAGUCCGCGUACCAUUAGCUAGUUGGCAGGGUAAUGGCCUACCAAGGCGACGAUGGUUAGCUGGUCUGAGAGGAUGAUCAGCCACACUGGAACUGAGACACGGUCCAGACUCCUACGGGAGGCAGCAGUGGGGAAUUUUGCGCAAUGGGGGAAACCCUGACGCAGCAACGCCGCGUGAGUGAUGAAGGCCUUCGGGUCGUAAAGCUCUGUCAGAGGGAAAGAAGUGUGGGAGGGUUAAUACCCCUUUCACUUGACGGUACCCUCAAAGGAAGCACCGGCUAACUCCGUGCCAGCAGCCGCGGUAAUA